Molecule: ribosomal RNA, 496 nt
Filed under: uncultured bacterium
Lineage: Bacteria
Description: bacterial SSU rRNA
Rfam family: Bacterial small subunit ribosomal RNA
Source: RNAcentral
UCAGGAUGAACGCUAGCUACAGGCUAACACAUGCAAGUCGAGGGGUAGCAGGGUAGCAAUACCGCUGACGACCGGCGCACGGGUGAGUAACACGUAUCCAACCUUCCCAUAACUCAGGGAUAGCCUUUCGAAAGAAAGAUUAAUACCUGAUAGUACUUUUUCAAGGCAUCUUGAGAAAGUUAAAGAUUUAUUGGUUAUGGAUGGGGAUGCGUUCCAUUAGAUAGUUGGUGAGGUAACGGCUCACCAAGUCUUCGAUGGAUAGGGGUUCUGAGAGGAAGGUCCCCCACAUUGGUACUGAGACACGGACCAAACUCCUACGGGAGGCAGCAGUGAGGAAUAUUGGUCAAUGGGCGAGAGCCUGAACCAGCCAAGUAGCGUGAAGGAUGAAGGUCCUAUGGAUUGUAAACUUCUUUUAUAGUAGAAUAAAGUGAUCCACGUGUGGAUUUUUGUAUGUAUACUAUGAAUAAGGAUCGGCUAACUCCGUGCCAGCAGCCGC